CUCCUCCUCCCUCCAUUGUUGCAGCCACCAAAACCCUAGCCGCCCCCCCCCCCCAAUCCCCUCCUCCCUAGGUGCUACUCCGUGCCGCUCGGAUCAUCGUCUUUUGGUGCGAAUCUCCAAUCGUUUUGGUGGAAGGAAGAAGGGAGGAAGGAAAAGGGGAGAACCCAAGGUGAUUUUUCUUUUGUGUUCAUCCCUUGUUCAUUUGCGCUGUGAUUCAAUUGAUUAGAUGUUGCGUUUGCGAUUAGAUAGGGGGGGCUGUCCAGAAUUUUGCGUGGUGGAUGAACAGCGGUAGUUCCAGCAGUUUUUAGUUUUUUUUCGUGAAGAUUUAAUGGGGAUCAAUUUGGGAAUCUUGUAGAACUUUGUUUUAUCUUUCCAACGAGUAUUUAUACGCUCAAUUUGGAGUUAUAAAUUAAAAGUUAUCAUCGUUUGAAUCCGGGUAUGUGGCUGUCCAGAAAACAGAUUUUUCAGAGUGAUGAACAGCAGCAGUGUUAGCAGUUUCUGGGGAUUUUUCGGGAGCAAUUAGUGUUAAUCAGUAUGAGAAUCUUGUAGCACUUUGUUUUAUCUUUCCAACGAGUAUUUAUGCGCUCAAUUUGGAGUUAUAAAUUAAAAGUUAUCAUCGUUUGAAUCCGGGUAUGUGGCUGUCCAGAAAACAGAUUUUUCAGAGUGAUGAACAGCAGCAGUGUUAGCAGUUUCUGGGGAUGUUUCGGGAGUAAUUAGUGUUAAUCAGUAUGAGAAUCAUGUAGGGAUUUUUCUUAUCUUCCCAACAAGUACUUAUGCGCUCAAAUCGGAAUUAUAUUUUAAAAGUUAUCGCUGUUUGAAUCCGCGUAUGUCGCUGCUCAAAUAAAAAAAACAGAUUGCAGGGUUUAUUUUGAGGACUGUUUAGAGGUAAGUAGAUGUUAGAAUUCAAUCAUGGGUUGUAUACAAAACUUGUGGGGAAUUUUAUGUAGUUGUCUCUGAAGUUUUUGUUUACCAUCACUGCUGUCCUAAAUUUUAAGUUAUGGAAUUGUUAAGCAGCGCUGCUGCAGUUUGGUUAGUGAGGGGAGAAUUGUUACCGCGGCGGGGUUUAAAAUUGCGCGUAGGUGCGGUGUGGUCUUUGAGUUUUUUUUCAUGAGAAUUUGGUGCACUAAGUUGGGUGUCAAAAACAGGUGGUGGACUUCCGGAUCGUUCUUAGGGAUUUUGCCCGAACUUCGGUAAAGGCAAGUAAAACAGUGAUGGUUAUUUCGUCUUUUGAUUGAAGAGGCUCAUACUUGAUUAUGUUUGUGCUAUUUGUGUUCGUAUCCAUAUUCCUAAUUGGGUACCAUCGUUUGAAAUUAUUCAUGCUUUAUUGAUUAUACAUGUGGAGGGUGUGGUUUGAUCAUGUUACCCAUGUGGUUAUUGAUGUGAAAUGGGUGGAAGUAUAUGUCUAGCACAUUUUAUUUGGGAAGAACUCAUGUUGUUGACAUGCAUAAUGCAUUCAUCAUCCAUUGCAUUGAAGUUUUCGUCGCGAUCUUAUGGUCCGACCGUACCGGUACAAUGAGCAUCAUAUGUUUCCCGAGAAGGGGUAUGAUGCAGCUUCAUAUCCUUAGAGGUAUGAAGGCAGAAGUCAUGUUGCAUCUGUAGCCAUGUGCAUUCAUGGAUGAAGUGUGGAACCUAUUUUGGUGAUGUGGAUAAGGUGGAUCUUUACUUUGUAAUUCAUCUUGGCAUUGAGUAAUUGAUUACUUGCUUACUUGCUGCAAAUUAAUAUUUAAGGAAGAAGUUGGGAACCAUGUGGUUGCUUAUGCACGGUUGGCUUGCAUUGUCCAACUGUUGUUUGUUUUUUUUACUUGCUGAGAUGUGUCAUCUCACUCUUGCAUUGUCUGAUGCAGGCACCUAAUCUUUGCUUUGGGAAAGAAGGGAUGUAGCAGCACGGCCACCACACUUUUAAAUAAAGGAAUAACUGUUUAUUAAUGAUGCUAAACAGGAAGGGUCAAGUCUAGGGAAUUAUUACAUUCUAAUCUUUCAUGGUAGUUGAACUGUUUAGUUUGGUGGGCUGAGAUGUCUAUCUUUUGUCUGGUCUUGAAUGUUCUUUUCUACCGUUGCAUUUUGAUUAUACUAUGGCAAUUAUUUUUUCUUUUAUAUCCUGUAUAAACUAUAUGCUUCCCUUGUUAUGCUACUUUCAAGGGAGGUGCUGCCGGAUUUUGCAAUACUUUCUUUCUCUAUGUGUUGCAUAAGUCUUGUAGAAAGGUUUUUUUUUGGUAUCAUCCAUUGUGUGGGAUCAGUGGGGUGUUACACGAGUGGAAUGGAAAGCAAAUGUGAAUUUGAACUUUGCGGAAUACGAGAGUAGUCAAAAGAAAAGUUAGAAUUAACCGGUUUCCUUUGUUUGUCGUGGUCGUCGUCCUUUUGGGAAGAUGUAGACUCAUCACUGUCGUCGUAGUAGACGAUCUCCUUGAUGCGUCUUGUCUUCUUCUUCUUCCCAUCUCUUCGCUUGUGGCCCGAGCCCGAGUCAUUGGACUUGUCAUCCCUUGGCUCGUUGACGAAGGAUUCUUUCUCCUUGUCGUUGAUCACAAUUCCCUUCCCCUUAGGAUCCAUCUCUUCGGGCGGUUAGUCCCUUACUUUGAAGAGAACGGCUCUGAUACCAAUUGAGAGCACCUAGAGGGGGGGGUGAAUAGGUGAUCCUGUAAAACUUCAAAACUUAAGCCACAAAAACUUGUUAAGAGUUAGCACAAGUAUGGCCAAGUGGUUAGAGAGGAGUCAAAACACAAUAACCACAAGAAAGCAAUC
This 2739-nucleotide long non-coding RNA is filed under the name Zea mays. Its description in RNAcentral is "long non-coding RNA (ZMAY_LNC004249)". The record is from RNAcentral. Lineage: Eukaryota; Viridiplantae; Streptophyta; Magnoliopsida; Poales; Poaceae.